CAUUUUGAAGUGUAUAGAUAUAUUUUUUUUUUAUUUUUGGAUCAACAUAGGACUUAUACUUUAUGUUGUUUGCUUUCAAGAUAAUAUUUAUAUAUUGUAUAUGAUAAUGCUAACUUAGAUAAGUCAAUUAUCUUUUUAUAUUUUGAUAAAUGAAUCAAGACAAAGUAGCUGAGGUGGCCAUAUCUUUUGUGCUAUGGUUUGUUGAUGUUACUUUUUUCAAUAUUAUUAAUUUAAAAUCUAUGUAAACUAUUUAUUGAAUCUUGAUAUCCCACCAAAACAAAUUAAAUAGUUUGAUUAAAAUCCAAUAAUAAGAGCUGGAAAAUAAAAUGAUAUGACUUAUAUCAACUUUAGCUCCAACAAAUAUUAAGCUUUUCAUAAGAAUUAGUACAUAUUGAACAUUAAUUAUAUUUAUUUCACCAAAACCAAUUUAUAUAAUAGAAUUUUUAAUACCUUCAAUGUGAUGAAUUUUUUCCUUAUAAUUUUAAUAUUCUUUCUUGUAUUAGCUCUUGUGAUCUAGCUAAUGAUAUCUUUUGUAUCAAUAACAUAUGCAAUUGUACCACUAUCCAUGUACCAUUGUUGAGAAGAGCUUAUAAGACCAGAUAUCUAUGCAAUGACUACAUCAAGGUUUUCUACUGCAUUUGCAUAUGCUGAUUGCAUAAAUAGACCUCGACUCAAAUUUUCUUGUGGUAGCUAAUCUUGUAAGGCAAAGUAAUUUUCAAUAAUGUAAUAUAAUUGACUGCAAUUGUAACAAGUUAUCAUAUUUCUAAAAAAUCUUUAUUCUAGUAUACUUCAAUUCCUUCUAAAUUAGGUGCUUCUUCUUUAAUAUUAUCCCCUUUCUCUAUAGCCUUAAUUUGAAAUGUCUCCUUGAUAUUGUGCUCUAUUAUAAAAUUAAAAAUGUGUUGAUAAUUGAAUUGUAUAGUUAAAUUGUGCCGCUAGUAACCCUACAUCUCCAAGUUGUAUAAUUUUCUAUAUUUGCCAUGCUACUCCAAUGAACAACUUUGAUUUCAAUUAAUCAAAGGUGAAUAUAAUAUCUAGAUUGUUUAAGGAUUGAAUUCUUCUUUUUAAAUUUCUUACUAAACCAUUGAAUAGAAGUUAAUAGAUGCUUAUAUUGUAAAUAGGUUCAUCCAUGGAUAGAAGUUGGUUUCUUAUAUUUGUUGUUUUAUUGACAUAUUCUUCCAUCAAGCUCCUUUUGACAUCUUCAAUGUCUAUAGUUGGUUACUUAACAUUAAAAGUUGCCACUAUUUGCUAGAUGCAAACUUUUUGUCAUGCCAUUGACAAAAAUAGAGCUCACUUGUUGCUCAAUGUGAUGCAUGAAGCAAGGUCACUUCUAUUUCAACUUGUUGAAUACUUCUAAGAACAUUGCCUACUAGAUCUAAGUAGAACUCUGUUACACUAUCGCUUUGAUACCAUGUUAAACAAUGAUAUCUCACACUACUGUAUUUAAUAGAAUAAAAAGUGUAAUACUAAGAACCAAUACUUGGUACAUAUACAAGAGGUUCUCUAAUCAAGGAGGGACACGUGUCCUGGGGGUUAAGGUGUGCUACGAGAUGAAUGCUGUUCGUUGACGAGGAGAGCAAAAAAGUGAAGACACCCUGGGCGAGGAAGUCUUCAAUCUGACCCCUCCAAAUCCGAGUUGCAGCAGUGUCCUCCAUCACGUCAACCUCCUUUUUGACGGAAACUUAUUCAUUUUUGCAGAACGAACUCGAUUUUUCUCAAAUACAAGACUGGUGCUGUAUUUAGGACCUUCCUUGGCAUCCCCUGGAACAAAUGCGAUUUCUCAGCCGUCUGCUCUUGGGUUCUCCUCCUCCCCCCCCCCCCCCAACACAUUCUCUUUCACGAGACUGGAUUCCAAGUCGCCAAGGUCUUAAUCUGCAGCGGCUCAAUGGAAGACUGGAGAGCUGCCUCCACUCCAUUAAUAGGCUGCGGAGGGACGAUGGUUACGCCUGAAAACUCAACUUAGGUGAUGGAAGACAUGCUCGUUGCAGGCAACAUGGGCAACACGAUCGUUCUACCCACUUGGGAUGUUCUGAUCAAUGGUGGAGCGCAGACUGGCGGUCAGGGAUGGGGCACGACCUAGAAUACCUCAUCGCAGCGAUCCCAGUAUGUGAUUGAGGUGGGGCCUGGAUUGGAUUUCAGUUGCUUGCGGCCAACACUGUGCCGCGUGCGUAUCAUUUGAGAGCAAAUUUGUUGUCUGAUUGGCGCAUUCGAAUCUUCUACGUACGCGUGGGCUGAUCAUUCACAUCGAAUUGUGAGUGGAGGCCUUUUCGCCACUGUAUAAUAAUUUCGAGUAAACUCUGACUGCUUCACUCUCCAUCUUGAAGAUUGAAUUUGUUUGUGGCAAUUAGAACAGUGUGCAGAUCUGAAGGCCAGAGACCGAGCCUCACUGGAUGUGGUGUGGACCGUCACCUCCUAUCUAUCCUGCAUAAGCUAUCCUUAAGCCCAAAGCUAACGGCAUAUCAAACUCCGAACCCUGUAUCUUAGACAUCGCGAGCGAUAGCCGAACAUGACCCUGAUGAUCACAGAAACGAUUUUCGUAUUAUUUAUGCUGUGUGUCAGUAACGUAGUGCCGACAAGAGAUGAACUGUUGCACCUGAACAAGCUCAGGCUGGUCGAUAGCAAUCACAUACACUAGUCACCUUGAUCGUUGUAUCGAGAAUUCCGAACGGUGAACUAUUUACUUAUUGCUCAACAUUGAGUAAACUGGCAGAUUUAGGAAGCUUCGGUGUAUUGCUCAUUCAGUUCGUCGCCCUUACGGGGGUGGCAUUUCUGAUUAUGAACCAGCCGAAGCCUGUUUCAGGUCUGGCAGUGAAGAAGAUUCUCCACCCUGUAUUUGAUUAGUUAAUUUCUCAAUUCUGUCUACAUGAUUUCAAAUGAA
Physcomitrium patens is the source of this 2875-nucleotide non-coding RNA. The record is from RefSeq and is a predicted model, not a curated record. NCBI's taxonomy places the organism in Eukaryota, Viridiplantae, Streptophyta, Bryopsida, Funariales, Funariaceae.